UACGUAGGGUGCAAGCGUUGUCCGGAAUUAUUGGGCGUAAAGAGCUCGUAGGUGGUUCGGUAAGUCGGGUGUUAAACCCCCAGGCUCAACCUGGGGACGCCACUCGAUACUGCUGUGACUAGAGUCCGGUAGGGGAGCGUGGAAUUCCUGGUGUAGCGGUGAAAUGCGCAGAUAUCAGGAGGAACACCAGCGGCGAAGGCGGCGCUCUGGGCCGGUACUGACACUGAGGAGCGAAAGCGUGGGUAGCAAACAGG
This 254-nucleotide ribosomal RNA is filed under the name uncultured bacterium. RNAcentral's name for it is "partial 16S ribosomal RNA". It matches the Rfam family "Bacterial small subunit ribosomal RNA", at positions 524 to 776 of the family's 1533-position model. The record is from RNAcentral.